ACGACUUGGGCACUGUCUCGGCCAUGAGCUCGGUGAAAUUGUGGUAUCGGUGAUGACGCCGAUUACCCGCAGCGGGACGAAAAGACCCCGUGAACCUUUACUACAACUUUACAUUGGCUUUAGCUGUAUCAUGUGUAGGAUAGGCGGGAGACUUUGAAGCGGCGUCGCCAGGCGUUGUGGAGUCACCCUUGAAAUACCGCCCUUGAUACAGGUGAAGUCUAACCCUGAAAGGGGAACAGUGUAUGGUGGGUAGUUUGACUGGGGCGGUCGCCUCCUAAAGAGUAACGGAGGCUCCCAAAGGUACCCUCAGCACGGUUGGCAAUCGUGCGUAGAGUGUAAAAGCAUAAGGGUGCUUGACUGCGAGACAUACAGGUCGAGCAGGCACGAAAGUGGGGUUUAGUGAUCCGGUGGCACCGCAUGGAAGGGCCAUCGCUCAAAGGAUAAAAGGUACUCCGGGGAUAACAGGCUGAUACCCCCCAAGAGUCCACAUCGACGGGGGUGUUUGGCACCUCGAUGUCGGCUCAUCGCAACCUGGGGCUGAAGUCGGUCCCAAGGGUUGGGCUGUUCGCCCAUUAAAGCGGUACGCGAGCUGGGUUCAGAACGUCGUGAGACAGUUCGGUCCCUAUCCGUCGUGGGCGUAGGAAAUUUGAGAGGAGCUGUCCUUAGUACGAGAGGACCGGGAUGGACAUACCUCUGGUGUACCAGUUGUCGUGCCAACGGCAUAGCUGGGUAGCUAUGUAUGGACGGGAUAAGUGCUGAAAGCAUCUAAGCAUGAAGCCCCCCUCAAGAUGAGAUUUCCCAACUUCGGUUAUAAGAUCCCUCAGAGAUGAUGAGGUUAAUAGGUUCGAGGUGGAAGCGUGGUGACACGUGGAGCUGACGAAUACUAAUCGAUCGA
Molecule: ribosomal RNA, 895 nt
Filed under: Goniomonas pacifica
Lineage: Eukaryota; Cryptophyceae; Goniomonadida; Goniomonadaceae
Description: partial Bacterial large subunit ribosomal RNA
Rfam family: Bacterial large subunit ribosomal RNA
Source: RNAcentral